CCGCGGCGGCGGCUCAGCUGGGUGGGGUUUUCUCCGCCGGAAGGGGCAGGGCCGAUCGAAGCCGCGCAGAGGAGAAAUCAACCCCCGGCCCCCGCCUCCGGUCGGCGAUGGCCGCCGGCGACACCGCAACGGUCUUCCUGGAGACGACCCUCGGCACCCGCCUCGUCGUUUCCUUCCCCGCCGGCGCCACCACCGUCGCCGACCUCAAGGGCCGAGUGAGCGCGGAGCACGCCACCUGUUUCCCCCGCACCGGGCCAAUCGCCGUCACAUCCUUGCAGGUUAAGCUAGAUGGCUCCUGGUUUCAGCUCACCGAUUCCAUGGCUGUGAGAGAUGCUUUCGAGUGGGUUAAGGGGCCCUGGCGCCUCCUGGCUGAGGCUCAUGAGCUUCGCUCUCAUCCGCUUGCUCGCAAGGAUGCAAAGUGUGAAACUAGUGAUGCUGAACCAAGUGCCGGCCGGCCUGUCAUCUCCGAUAACUCCACACAGAUGCAGUACUUGAUGCCUCCUGCAGGGUCUCAGGGAGGUGGCAGUCUUGCCUCUGGUGAUGGCGUCAGUGACACCCCACAGAUAAAUCAGCAGGAUAACCCUCAGGAAGGUGAUGAGCAUGCCUCGGGUCAGGGCAAAGAUGAAACUACCAUGCCACAGAAAAGUUCCGAUCUUGAUUUAGCCGCAGGCGACAGAGACACCCUACUGCCCAACCAGGAGGACAAACCUCAGGAAUGUGUUGAGCAUGCUUCUGGUCAGAUCGAGGAUGGAAUUGCCAUGCCUCAAGAAAGUUCAGAUAUUGAUUCAGCCACAGGUGACAGUGGCACCUCACUGGCAAACCAGGAGGACAAACCUCAGGAGUGUGUUGAGCAUGACUCCGGUCAGCUCGAAGAUGGAAUUACCAUGCCUCAAGAAAGUUCAGAUAUUGAUUUAACCACAGGCGACAGUGGCACCCCACUGGCAAACCAAGAGGACAAACCUCAGGAAUGUGUUGAGCAUGCCUCCGGUCAGCUCGAAGAUGGAAUCAGCAUGCCUCAAAAAAGUUCAGAUUUUGACUUAGUAGCAGGCUACAGUGACGCCCCACCAAUGAACCAGCAGGACAAAUCUCAUGAUGCUGUUGACCAUGCCUCUGUUCAGAGCGAAGAUAAGCCUACCAUGCAUCAAGAAAGUUCAGACCUUGAUGCAGCAGCAGGCAGAGGGAAUGGUCCUGUUGGGGGUCAACAAAAGGACAUCAUCACAGAACGAAGAGGGAAGAAACGUUAUAGGGAGGAAGAUAAAACCAACGAAAGCAUCGUUGUAAAAUGUGGUGACGAUCUGUCCUCUCUUGCUAGCUCCACUUGUAAUGCUGAAUCAUCUGAGAAGAAGAGUUGUGUGGCUGAGCAAGCAAAAUUGAACAGUGUCCCCUUGCCAUAUGAUUUGGAAGACCAUUCACAUGGUUUGGGGAAAAAUCCCUCUGGUGGCCAGAAGGAGACCUUGGCAUCUGGUGCACAUAAUGUUGAAAGCAGCAACAAUGAAUCAGAUAUCCCACCUGGGGUUGAGUCCAUGGAAAGAGGAAAGUCUUCGGACAGAGAAGUGAAGACAAAGAGAGGUGACAAAGAACCACGGAUAGCUGGAUGUGGUGGUGCACAUAAUGUUGAAAGCGGCAACAAUGAAUCAGAUAUCCCACCUGGGGUUGAGUCCAUGGAAAGAGGAAAGUCUUCAGACAGAGAAGUGAAGACAAAGAGAGGUGACAAAGAACCACGGAUAGCUGGAUGUGGUGGUGAAAGCAGCUGCAAAAGAACAGAUGACCCACACUGUGUUGAAUCCAUGAAAGAAGAUGUCAAGUGGCCAGUUUCCAAUAGCCAUUAUCUCGACAAAGGGGAAAAUGGAGGGGCCACAUCAAAUGUUAGCAUAGAACGGAUUUGUUUCAGAAGAAGGCACAAGCGGAUUGUUGUGCGCAAAGUGCCUAUAAGCAAGGCAAUAAAGAUAUAUCCUUUCAGGUGUUAAUAUUAUCUCACCUGGAUGAUUUUGCACAAGAACAUGUUGCUGAGAAAGCUGAGGACAAUUGAGAGAAAAUGGCAAAUGCUUUUGAGUACAACCAUGAAUCUGAACCAGUGCAUUUGUGAGCGUUUCAUCAACAGUUGGAACCUGAGCUGUACCCAAGCUGUAUUCAAAUGGUUGUACGUGUAGCAUUGUCACCAAUAAACUCAAUAGCAUCUGCCCCUCUAAACUCAUGAUACAAUGGUGUAGUUCCUGAGGUUAUCUGAGAAACUGAAGAAGCCAACUCAGGUUUGCUGGCACCGGAUAUUCUUCAGUCGUUACCAUUGAUCAUUCAUUUAUUCUCGUGCUCUGUCCUGCGUGUUGCCCACUUUUUGCAUGCCCUAUUUGGUUUUCCAGAGCAUUUACUUUUUGUAGGUAAAGUUCAAGUAAAUCUGCGACAUCCUGGGUUCACAAGUGGAGUUCAGACAAUAUUUUUCAGCAGAUUUCAGCGCUGAUUGGUUAGUUGCAAUGUUGGAUAGUCCUCGUGCAGAAUUCUGCUGCUGUUGUCUUGUGGAGUUCUUCUGGAUGACCAUGGCAAGGUUGAUGCGAAGAACAACUCCGCUCCCACCAGAAGCAGAACCAGGAAUAGUAGUGGGACUCUCCCCAUAUUGCUGUACGGUUUUCAGCUUGAUAUGUCAGUGUCACCUAUAUAUGACCUAUACCAGAAAAUGCUAACAUAAUUACAAGGAGAACAAAAAAUCCGGUACAUCUCUGUAAAUUGAUUGCAUCAUAUAUUGCAGAAUUAUCUAAAAGAAUGUGUGCUGGAAUUAA
Panicum virgatum (switchgrass) is the source of this 2771-nucleotide RNA transcript. RefSeq lists it as uncharacterized. The record is from RefSeq and is a predicted model, not a curated record. NCBI's taxonomy places the organism in Eukaryota, Viridiplantae, Streptophyta, Magnoliopsida, Poales, Poaceae. The transcript has 5 exons.